AAUGUCCUGGAAGGUACGUGAUAGUGAGAGUAUAUUUUGAGCCAACACCCACCUCUUGGGAGCCAUUGUGUAUUUCUGGUGUGCAUGCCUCUGUUAAAAGAGGAAGCCUAAAGGAAAUACUUUGGCGCCCACCUAUACAAAAGAGGUUCAAAAUGCCUCGCUACACGGCCUUCCGGGGUUUUA
This 183-nucleotide non-coding RNA is filed under the name Desulfonauticus submarinus. RNAcentral's name for it is "6S / SsrS RNA". It matches the Rfam family "6S / SsrS RNA". Rfam says of the family: E. coli 6S RNA was the first non coding RNA to be sequenced, but its function was unknown until recently. It consists of 184 nucleotides that fold into an extended hairpin structure with a large single-stranded internal bulge. The record is from Rfam by way of RNAcentral. Lineage: Bacteria; Pseudomonadati; Thermodesulfobacteriota; Desulfovibrionia; Desulfovibrionales; Desulfonauticaceae.